CCACUGGGUUAUCUACCGUGAGGUGAGGAAUACCGGCGAGAAAUCGCCGACAAGACCGCAUAGCCUCGACGAUCCGUCGAGGAAAGUUUCCUUUCGAGGAGACGCCACACGAGGAGCCUGCGCCCGAUUAGCUAGCUGGUGGAGUAACGGUUCACCAGGGCGACGAUCGGUAGCUGGUCUGAGAGGACGAUCAGCCACACUGGGACUGAGACACGGCCCAG
This 221-nucleotide ribosomal RNA is filed under the name uncultured bacterium. Its description in RNAcentral is "partial 16S ribosomal RNA". It matches the Rfam family "Bacterial small subunit ribosomal RNA", at positions 113 to 334 of the family's 1533-position model. The record is from RNAcentral.